This 253-nucleotide ribosomal RNA is filed under the name uncultured bacterium. RNAcentral's name for it is "partial 16S ribosomal RNA". It matches the Rfam family "Bacterial small subunit ribosomal RNA", at positions 524 to 776 of the family's 1533-position model. The record is from RNAcentral.
GACGAACCGUGCGAACGUUGUUCGGAAUCACUGGGCUUAAAGGGCGCGUAGGCGGGCGCACAAGUCAGGGGUGAAAGCCCACGGCUCAACCGUGGAAGGGCCUUUGAUACUGUGUGUCUGGAGGGAGGUAGGGGCGUGCGGAACUUCCGGUGGAGCGGUGAAAUGCGUAGAUAUCGGAAGGAACACCGGUGGCGAAAGCGGCGCGCUGGACCUCUUCUGACGCUGAGGCGCGAAAGCCAGGGGAGCAAACGGG